Molecule: non-coding RNA, 24 nt
Filed under: Arabidopsis thaliana (thale cress)
Lineage: Eukaryota; Viridiplantae; Streptophyta; Magnoliopsida; Brassicales; Brassicaceae
Source: RNAcentral
AUUCAAUUCACAGUUUGCGGUAGC